This 743-nucleotide non-coding RNA is filed under the name Scolytinae sp. BMNH 1274712. Lineage: Eukaryota; Metazoa; Arthropoda; Insecta; Coleoptera; Curculionidae. The record is from RNAcentral.
UAAAAGUUUUAAUUUAGCUUUAUUUCUCAUUAUUAUUUUGGAGUUUAUAUAUAUUAUGGUUUAUUUUAAAAAUAGAUUAGUAGUGUUUUAAUUUAUACAUAUAUGGGAAAUCAUGAUUUAGUAAUAAAAUUUAGUACUGACUUAAUAUGUGCCAGCAGUUGCGGUUAUACUUAUAGUGCAGUUGAGGUAUUUUGUAUUAUAAUAAUAUUGUUUAUUUAGAAGGGAUAAUAUUUAUUUUAGGUAAAAUUAUAUAAUAUUAUUAUUUAGUAUUAAUUAAUAGAUUUAUUAAGCUUAGUAUUAAAACUAGGAUUAGAUACCCUAUUAUUUUAAGUGUAUAAUAAUUUGAUUAGUAUUAGUUAAGUUCUUGAAAGUUAAAGAUUUUGGCGGUAUUUUAGUCUAUUCAGAGGAACCUGUUUCGUGAAUGAUAGUCCACGAUUAAUUUAACUUGAAUUAUUAUUUUGUAUAUCGUCGUGAUUAGAAAUUUUUGAAGAAAAAAUUUUUAUAAGUUUAAGUUAUAAAAGAUGUCAGAUCAAGGUGCAGAUUAUAUUUAAGAGUUGGUGGGUUACAAUUAAGAUAUUACUGGAUUAUAUUUUGAAAUGAUAAUAGAAAGUGGAUUUGAUAGUAAUUAAUUAUAUUUAUUUUAAAUGAUUUAAGCUCUAAAGUAUGCACAUAUUGCCCGUCACUUUCAUAGAUGAAAUAAGUCGUAACAAAGUAGAUGUACUGGAAGGUGUAUCUAGAAAGAU